AGCGAACGCUGGCGGCAGGCCUAACACAUGCAAGUCGAACGAACCUUUCGGGGUUAGUGGCGGACGGGUGAGUAACACGUGGGAACGUGCCUUUAGGUUCGGAAUAACUCAGGGAAACUUGUGCUAAUACCGAAUGUGCCCUUCGGGGGAAAGAUUAAUCGCCUUUAGAGGGGCCCGCGUCUGAUUAGCUAGUUGGUUGAGGUAAUGGCUCACCAAGGCGACGUUCAGUAGCUGGUCUGAGAGGAUGAUCAGCCACAUUGGGACUGAGACACGGCCCAAACUCCUACGCGAGGCAGCAGUGGGGAAUCUUGCGCAAUGGGCGAAAGCAUGACGCAGCCAUGCCGCGUGAAUGAUGAAGGUCUUAGGAUUGUAAAAUUCUUUCACCGGGGACGAUAAUGACGGUACCCGGAGAAGAAGCCCCGGCUAACUUCGUG
RNAcentral lists this ribosomal RNA (434 nucleotides) under uncultured bacterium. Its description in RNAcentral is "partial 16S ribosomal RNA". It matches the Rfam family "Bacterial small subunit ribosomal RNA", at positions 29 to 507 of the family's 1533-position model. The record is from RNAcentral.